This 482-nucleotide ribosomal RNA is filed under the name uncultured bacterium. RNAcentral describes it as "partial 16S ribosomal RNA". It matches the Rfam family "Bacterial small subunit ribosomal RNA", at positions 28 to 523 of the family's 1533-position model. The record is from RNAcentral.
GACGAACGCUGGUGGCGUGCUUAACACAUGCAAGUCGAACGAUGAAGUUCCUUCGGGAAUGGAUUAGUGGCGAACGGGUGAGGAACACGUGAACAAUCUGCCCCUUACACGGGAAUAACUUCGGGAAACCGAAGCUAAUACCCGAUAUUGAAUUCGGUAGGCAUCUACUGAAUUUGAAAUGGUCCGCCGGUAAGGGAUGAGUUCGCGGCCUAUCAGCUUGUUGGUGAGGUCACGGCUCACCAAGGCGACGACGGGUAGCCGGCCUGAGAGGGCGACCGGCCACACUGGGACUGGGACACGGCCCAGACUCCUACGGGAGGCAGCAGUGGGGAAUAUUGCGCAAUGGACGAAAGUCUGACGCAGCAACGCCGCGUGAGGGAUGACGGCCUUCGGGUUGUAAACCUCUUUCAAUCGGGACGAAGCGAAAGUGACGGUACCGAUACAAGAAGCACCGGCUAACUAUGUGCCAGCCGCCGCGGUAA